UAAUAGCGUAUAUUAAAGUUGUUGCGGUUAAAAAGCUCGUAGUUGUAUUUUGGGGCCGGACAAGCGAUCGGCUUCGGUCGAAUUGCUCUUUCGGCUCCUUCCUUCUGUGGACUGCGUCACUCUUUACUGAGGGGCGUUUGGACGCAGAUCGUUUACUGUGAAAAAAUUAGAGUGUUCAAAGCAGGCCAUACGCUUGAAUACAUUAGCAUGGAAUAAUGGAAUAGGACGUCGGACCUAUUUUGUUGGUUCUAGGACCGUCGUAAUGAUUAAUAGGGACAGUUGGGGCCGUUCAUAUUCCGUAGUCAGAGGUGAAAUUCUUGGAUUUACGGAAGAUGAACUACUGCGAAAGCAUUCGGCAAGGAUGUUUUCGUUAA
RNAcentral lists this ribosomal RNA (374 nucleotides) under uncultured eukaryote. Its description in RNAcentral is "partial 18S ribosomal RNA". It matches the Rfam family "Eukaryotic small subunit ribosomal RNA", at positions 592 to 976 of the family's 1831-position model. The record is from RNAcentral.